RNAcentral lists this ribosomal RNA (497 nucleotides) under uncultured bacterium. RNAcentral describes it as "partial 16S ribosomal RNA". It matches the Rfam family "Bacterial small subunit ribosomal RNA", at positions 28 to 507 of the family's 1533-position model. The record is from RNAcentral.
GAUGAACGCUGGCGGCGUGCCUAAUACAUGCAAGUCGAGCGAACAGACGAGGAGCUUGCUCCUCUGACGUUAGCGGCGGACGGGUGAGUAACACGUGGAUAACCUACCUAUAAGACUGGGAUAACUUCGGGAAACCGGAGCUAAUACCGGAUAACAUGUUGAACCGCAUGGUUCAACAGUGAAAGACGGUCUUGCUGUCACUUAUAGAUGGAUCCGCGCCGCAUUAGCUAGUUGGUAAGGUAACGGCUUACCAAGGCAACGAUGCGUAGUCGACCUGAGAGGGUGAUCGGCCACACUGGAACUGAGACACGGUCCAGACUCCUACGGGAGGCAGCAGUAGGGAAUCUUCCGCAAUGGGCGAAAGCCUGACGGAGCAACGCCGCGUGAGUGAAGAAGGUCUUCGGAUCGUAAAACUCUGUUAUUAGGGAAGAACAAAUGUGUAAGUAACUAUGCACGUCUUGACGGUACCUAAUCAGAAAGCCACGGCUAACUACGUG